AGUUCAAGAGUACGUGAAACCGUUUAGGGGUAAACCUGAGAAACCCGAAAGGUCGAAGGAAGAAAUUCAUUCGCGUUUCGAUGCUAGCAUCAGAUAGAAUUGUGACGUAAAUUGUGUGCGUGUCCUUUGCGGGGCACGUUCAUAUGAUUUGUGCUCAUUUUGUUUGUUGAUCUGGCAACGAACGCGUGCACUUUUCUUCUGGUAGGACGUCGCGAUUCGUUGAGUAUCGGUCUACGGUUUGAGGUGGAGACCGUUUUCAAUUGCAUUUAGUCGUGUAAAUGGGAGCGGACCCUCGAUACCUGGCCGAUUUGCUCGACGGUAUGCUAACGGUUAGGGGCCGCUUUUAAAAAGCGUUCGACACAAAGCAAGCGCGUUAGAUGUAUGUUGGCAAUUGGACCUAGUGCCGAUUCCGACCUCUAAUGACUGUUGGCUUUGUUGUUCUCGAACAGACUCCUCUUCGAUCAAUUUUACGAUUGAUCGAUAUAGAAUAAUUUGAGAGAAAACCGAUCUGCGACGCUAUAGCUUUGGGUACUUUCAGGACCCGUUCUUGAAA
RNAcentral lists this ribosomal RNA (553 nucleotides) under Diamerus curvifer. RNAcentral's name for it is "LSU rRNA". Lineage: Eukaryota; Metazoa; Arthropoda; Insecta; Coleoptera; Curculionidae. The record is from RNAcentral.